UGUUCAGGAUAAGUAUGUCCCAUGCAGAAUCUGGGACAUACUUGUACUAAAA
RNAcentral lists this microRNA precursor (52 nucleotides) under Tupaia belangeri chinensis (Chinese tree shrew). RNAcentral's name for it is "Tupaia chinensis (Chinese tree shrew) mir-1302 microRNA precursor family". It matches the Rfam family "mir-1302 microRNA precursor family". The record is from Rfam by way of RNAcentral. Lineage: Eukaryota; Metazoa; Chordata; Mammalia; Scandentia; Tupaiidae.